UACAUCUCUGGUUACUGUGUAUAAGAGGACGCUGCGCCAGUGCGACACCAUUUUGAAAGUUACAAAUAAAAAUGAUGCGCGUGAAGUUGUGUGUCCUGCUCAUUGUAGCAUUAAUCCUGAUUGGCUGUAUUCAUGAAGGGGAAACAUUCACGGCCGGCCGACACCCACCAAAGGGUAAAAUAGUGAAAGGCAAAGAGUUUGACAGGAGAAAAGAGCUUAUUAGGCGCGAGGCAAAAGACAUUUUGAGGCUUCUUGAUCUUGAAGAAGAACUGGACAUGCAGGACGACCCGUAAUCACAUACUGAUGGUCAACAUCGAGUAGUCUCCGUAAAUGAGCUUCUAGAAGAAAAAAUUUAAACGAAACUAUAUAUUUCAUCGGGCAUUUACUAAAUUGUGAAAAGUCAAAUUAUCAGACGAAAAUAAAAAAGUUCAGUGAGAUAUAUGUCAGUGUGUAUUGUCAUUUCAGCCAGUGUUCAUGUCUUGGUAAUGUUAUAGUUCGGCUGAUGGUGUCAACUUUUUUAAACACAACGUUUAGUUAAAAUUGCUUUUGAUUUUCACAUGUCAGAAUUUUAAUGCAAUUACAGGAAAGUGAAGGGAUUUCAGCUGUUUUGCAAUUGAUUUGAUUUUGAAUUGGUUUGUUUAAGAUAUACGCACGACACUGAGAUAUAUCUUACUGCGUACAUGUAAGACAAGAACCCGUUCCAGUACCAAGAACCGUUGUCGAUGAGAAGAUGUUGGUAAAAUGUUGGGAAAAUGGUCCGUUUUGCAAAUGUCCUAGGACACGUCACAAACGUUCAUUUUAGAUUGUGGGUGGGUAAAAUUGUAUUUUUUCAGUUGUCUCUGCAUGUAUCUUUUGGGGCAAGGGCAAU
Lingula anatina is the source of this 868-nucleotide long non-coding RNA. RefSeq lists it as uncharacterized. The record is from RefSeq and is a predicted model, not a curated record. Lineage: Eukaryota; Metazoa; Brachiopoda; Lingulata; Lingulida; Lingulidae.